RNAcentral lists this ribosomal RNA (497 nucleotides) under uncultured bacterium. Its description in RNAcentral is "partial 16S ribosomal RNA". It matches the Rfam family "Bacterial small subunit ribosomal RNA", at positions 28 to 507 of the family's 1533-position model. The record is from RNAcentral.
GAUGAACGCUGGCGGCGGGCCUAAUACAUGCAAGUCGAGCGAACGCACGAUAAGCUCGCUCCUUUGAUGUUAGCGGCGGACGGGUGAGUAACACGUGGAUAACCUACUUCUAAUACGGGGGUAACUUCGUGAAACCGCAGACACUACCGCCUCAUAUUGUCAACCGCAUGGUUCAAGAGUUAAUGACGGCUUUGCUGUCACUUAUAGACGGUGCCGCGGUGCAUUAGCUAGUUGGUAAGGUAACGGCUUAGCAAGGCGACGAUGCAUAGCCGACCUGAGAGGGUGAUCGGCCACACUGGAACUGAGACACGGUCCAGACUCCUACGGGAGGCAGCAGUAGGGAAUCUUCCGCAAUGGGCGAAAGCCUGACGGAGCAACGCCGCGUGAGUGAUGAAGGUCUUCGGAUCGUAAAACUCUGUUAUUAGGGAAGAACAUAUGUGUGAGUAACUCUGCACGUCUUGACGGUACCUAAUCAGAAAGCCACGGCUAACUACGUG